RNAcentral lists this non-coding RNA (67 nucleotides) under unclassified sequences. Its description in RNAcentral is "L31-Gammaproteobacteria ribosomal protein leader". It matches the Rfam family "L31-Gammaproteobacteria ribosomal protein leader". The record is from RNAcentral.
CAUGCGGUGCCUGGCGCCUGGUAAUUCAGAUGCCCCGCGAUCAGGUAGCGGCAUGACCUAACGAGGU